GUAAGGAAUAUUGGUCAAUGGACGCAAGUCUGAACCAGCCAUGCCGCGUGAAGGAUUAAGGCCCUCUGGGUUGUAAACUUCUUUUAUCUGGGACGAAAAACGGGCUUUCUAGCUCACUUGACGGUACCAGAGGAAUAAGCACCGGCUAACUCCGUGCCAGCAGCCGCGGUAAUACGGAGGGUGCAAGCGUUAUCCGGAUUUACUGGGUUUAAAGGGUGCGUAGGUGGGUCUGUAAGUCAGUGGUGAAAUCUCCGGGCUUAACCCGGAAACUGCCAUUGAUACUAUAGGUCUUGAAUUAUCUGGAGGUGAGCGGAAUAUGUCAUGUAGCGGUGAAAUGCUUAGAUAUGACAUAGAACACCAAUUGCGAAGGCAGCUCACUACGGAUGUAUUGACACUGAGGCACGAAAGCGUGGGGAUCAAACAGGAUUAGAAACCCGAGUAGUCC
Molecule: ribosomal RNA, 445 nt
Filed under: uncultured bacterium
Lineage: Bacteria
Description: bacterial SSU rRNA
Rfam family: Bacterial small subunit ribosomal RNA
Source: RNAcentral